This 484-nucleotide ribosomal RNA is filed under the name uncultured bacterium. RNAcentral's name for it is "partial 16S ribosomal RNA". It matches the Rfam family "Bacterial small subunit ribosomal RNA", at positions 29 to 507 of the family's 1533-position model. The record is from RNAcentral.
AUUGAACGCUGGCGGCAUGCUUUACACAUGCAAGUCGAACGGCAGCGCGGGCUUCGGCCUGGCGGCGAGUGGCGAACGGGUGAGUAAUGCAUCGGAACGUGCCCAGUAGUGGGGGAUAGCCCGGCGAAAGCCGGAUUAAUACCGCAUACGACCUGAGGGUGAAAGCGGGGGACCGAAAGGCCCCGCGCUAUUGGAGCGGCCGAUGUCGGAUUAGCUAGUUGGUGGGGUAAAGGCUUACCAAGGCGACGAUCCGUAGCUGGUCUGAGAGGACGACCAGCCACACUGGGACUGAGACACGGCCCAGACUCCUACGGGAGGCAGCAGUGGGGAAUUUUGGACAAAGGGGGCAACCCUGAUCCAGCCAUGCCGCGUGCGGGAAGAAGGCCUUCGGGUUGUAAACCGCUUUUGUUCGGGAAGAAAUCCUCUGGGCUAAUACCCCGGGGGGAUGACGGUACCGGAAGAAUAAGCACCGGCUAACUACGUG